GCCGGCGUGGCGAAAUCGGUAGACGCAACGGACUUAAAAUCCGUCGCUUCCUGUAAAGGGGCAUGCGGGUUCGACCCCCGCCGCCGGCACCA
This 92-nucleotide transfer RNA is filed under the name Betaproteobacteria bacterium. RNAcentral's name for it is "tRNA-Leu". It matches the Rfam family "tRNA". From Rfam's summary of the family: Transfer RNA (tRNA) molecules are approximately 80 nucleotides in length. Their secondary structure includes four short double-helical elements and three loops (D, anti-codon, and T loops). Lineage: Bacteria; Pseudomonadati; Pseudomonadota; Betaproteobacteria. RNAcentral also lists the same sequence under 1 other name. The record is from RNAcentral.